This 456-nucleotide ribosomal RNA is filed under the name Daphnia catawba. RNAcentral's name for it is "partial large subunit ribosomal RNA". It matches the Rfam family "Bacterial large subunit ribosomal RNA", at positions 1859 to 2588 of the family's 2925-position model. The record is from RNAcentral. Lineage: Eukaryota; Metazoa; Arthropoda; Branchiopoda; Diplostraca; Daphniidae.
CUGCUCAAUGCAUUGUAAAUAGCCGCAGUAUUCUGACUGUGCUAAGGUAGCAUAAUCAUUAGUCUCUUAAUUAGAGGCUGGUAUGAAUGNUGAGACGAGAAAAAAGCUGUCUCUGAAAUAAUUAUUGAAUUUCAUUUUUAGGUGAAAAAGCCUAAAUGUAUUUGGGGGACGAUCAGACCCUUUGGAGCUUUAUUCCAACAAUAUUUUAGGCUACUUUUAUGGCAAGAAUUUUGUUGGAAUUUUGUUGGGGCGACAGAAAGUUACAGUUACCACUAAAAAAAAACACAUAUUUGUGGAACAUUGAUCCCUUACGAAGAAUUAAAAAACUAAGUUACCCUAGGGAUAACAGCGUAAUCUUUUUGGAGAGUUCAUAUANAUAAAAAGGNUUGCGACCUCUAUGUUGGAUUAAGAAAUUAGCNAGGNGCANAANNUUUGCUGGAAAGUCNGUUCNACUUU